UGUUGGGGAUUUCUAGUCACACUAGGCCUGGUGCAGAUUCCUUCUGGAUUCCAAACCACUGCAUUCCCCACAGCUCUGUGGCUCCACUGUGUGUCUAUAACUAACAUCAAAGAAAACUAGAAGUCGGCAGGGUUUCAAGAGCUAAAGAGCUCGUUUUAUGAUCUUUAACAGACAGUUUUUACAGGUUAUUGUUUGUACAUCCACAUAACCCUGUUCAGCAUCAACUGAAAGUGUCUGAAGAAAUCUGGGCCUCUGUAAACAAGACCCGCUGCAACUGAGAGUGCCAGUGUUCUGGAUUUACUGGGUAUCCUAUUGUCUCAGGGCAAAAAGAGAAUAAACACAAAAGGACAGCCACUGAACCUCAGCUCCUUAUGGUCCUGGAUCAAGGAGAGAGAUGUGGCCAUUUCUUCCUAAGCUAAGCACGUCUGGUGUAGCGAUUAUUUCACUUCCGUUUAAUACCAGACAUGGAUUAACAGUGGUAGCUUGGAAUCCAGAGAGGCCUGCCUGGGUCUGUUUAAUCUGUGCGGUAAUGAAGCCUCUGACCUUCAGUUAAAUAGAUUUUGUCAACACUCAUUCAAUAAAUGAGAACUGCUGUUUCAUUAACUUUAACUAAAGCUGCUUGAUUUUGGACAAUUCCUUUCACUAUGGGAAAUACUAAGACUUUGAUUCCAAAGUUUCUCAGCACUCUAUUUCCCGAGUCUUCACUUUAGUUCUGAUCCUUGAAGAUCUAGAUCUCUCCCACACACCCCUUCCAUGCGCGCGGCUCCCUUGUGUACCCGGUUGAAAGAUGCGGACCAGGACUUAAAGCUUUGUCCUUAAGCCUGAGCCUGGGAGCCGGCUGACCUGUCCCAGGAGAGAUGGACCCGCAACUGGCUCGUCAGUGGCGCCAGGGGUGUGGAUUCCUUGGUUGGAGAGGUGAAGAGAGCUCAGACAUCUGGCGCCACUCUUAGACCCUGCAGCUUCAACAAACUUCUUGCAGGAGGCCGGCAGCCCCUCUGCCAGCUCUCGGAAGUGGCUUGCAGCUAGGUACCACCGCGGUAGACUCAGGCACGGUCACUCGGGGGCCCUGCUUUCCCUGUCACUGCCAG
RNAcentral lists this long non-coding RNA (1088 nucleotides) under Cricetulus griseus (Chinese hamster). RNAcentral describes it as "lncRNA (ENSCGRG00015035807.1)". Lineage: Eukaryota; Metazoa; Chordata; Mammalia; Rodentia; Cricetidae. The record is from RNAcentral.